This 406-nucleotide ribosomal RNA is filed under the name bacterium enrichment culture clone ALO1_GLFRUDD03GKUTL. RNAcentral describes it as "bacterial SSU rRNA". It matches the Rfam family "Bacterial small subunit ribosomal RNA", at positions 9 to 416 of the family's 1533-position model. The record is from RNAcentral.
GAGUUUGAUCCUGGCUCAGAUUGAACGCUGGCGGCAUGCCUUACACAUGCAAGUCGAACGGCAGCACGGGAGCUUGCUCCUGGUGGCGAGUGGCGAACGGGUGAGUAAUGCAUCGGAACGUAUCCUGGAGUGGGGGAUAACGUAGCGAAAGUUACGCUAAUACCGCAUAUUCUGUGAGCAGGAAAGCGGGGGACCUUCGGGCCUCGCGCUCUUGGAGCGGCCGAUGUCGGAUUAGCUAGUUGGUGAGGUAAAGGCUCACCAAGGCGACGAUCCGUAGCAGGUCUGAGAGGAUGAUCUGCCACACUGGAACUGAGACACGGUCCAGACUCCUACGGGAGGCAGCAGUGGGGAAUUUUGGACAAUGGGGCAACCCUGAUCCAGCCAUGCCGCGUGAGUGAAGAAGGCC